AGAAUCAACGCUGGCGGCGUGCCUAACACAUGCAAGUCGAACGCGAAAGCCCCCGAAAGGGGCAAGUAGAGUGGCAAACGGGUGAGUAACACGUGGGUGACCUGCCUUCGAGCGGGGGAUAACGUCCCGAAAGGGACGCUAAUACCGCAUAACAUCCUGCCUUUGAAGAGGUGGAGAUCAAAGCUGGGGAUCGCAAGACCCGGCACUUGAAGAGGGGGCCCGCGUCUGAUUAGCUAGGUUGGUGGGUAACGGCCUACCAGGCAACGAUCA
This 270-nucleotide ribosomal RNA is filed under the name uncultured soil bacterium. Its description in RNAcentral is "partial 16S ribosomal RNA". It matches the Rfam family "Bacterial small subunit ribosomal RNA", at positions 26 to 282 of the family's 1533-position model. The record is from RNAcentral.